Long non-coding RNA from Thalassophryne amazonica, 316 nucleotides. RefSeq lists it as uncharacterized. Lineage: Eukaryota; Metazoa; Chordata; Actinopteri; Batrachoidiformes; Batrachoididae. The transcript is spliced from 3 exons. The record is from RefSeq and is a predicted model, not a curated record.
UUUCACGUGACCUGAGAUAAUGUUUUGGGUGCUGUGGGACAAUAAACCAAGGCCUAUGCCUUGUGAAUGUUGUGUGCUUUGUAGCUGACUGUAAAACAGCUGAUCAUUCCCAAGAGUUAAUGAUGAUUGGAGUUUAAGGCAGAUCUAACUCUGGGCUUGUAUGUAAGGUUGGUGGGUGGAGUCUGAACAUGAGCACAGACUGGGUUUGCAUGGGCUGUUAUAUUCUAAAGUACAAAUACAAAUUUGGGUCAAUAUUCUGGCAGCAGCCAUCAGUGUAUUAAUAUGAAACAACCAUUUUAUCCGUUUGGUCACAGAU